This 253-nucleotide ribosomal RNA is filed under the name uncultured bacterium. Its description in RNAcentral is "partial 16S ribosomal RNA". It matches the Rfam family "Bacterial small subunit ribosomal RNA", at positions 524 to 776 of the family's 1533-position model. The record is from RNAcentral.
UACGUAGGGUGCGAGCGUUAAUCGGAAUUACUGGGCGUAAAGCGUGCGCAGGCGGCGCGUUAAGACAGGUGUGAAAGCCCCGAGCUUAACUUGGGAAUUGCGCUUGUGACUGGCGUGCUGGAGUGUGGCAGAGGGAGGUGGAAUUCCACGUGUAGCAGUGAAAUGCGUAGAGAUGUGGAGGAACACCGAUGGCGAAAGCGGCCCGCUGGACCUUCCCUGACGCUGAGGCGCGAAAGCCAGGGGAGCAAACGGG